This is a long non-coding RNA of Triticum aestivum (bread wheat), 1601 nucleotides long. RefSeq lists it as uncharacterized. The transcript is spliced from 11 exons. Lineage: Eukaryota; Viridiplantae; Streptophyta; Magnoliopsida; Poales; Poaceae. The record is from RefSeq and is a predicted model, not a curated record.
UUCCUGAAUAGGUUACAAUUCGUAGUGUCAGUGCAAGGCAAGAAAUUAUGUAGUUGUCGCCCAGCCGCAGGCGAGAAGAAGGGUGCAUCAUCUGGGGUCAUGUAUCUGGAUGGAGUUCAAUCUUGUCUCCCUGCUUUGUCAGGGAAAUACCAUUUGGCGUAUCCGUGUGUAUGUCUCACGACUAUGGCAGCACCAUGGUGGGACUGAUAAUGGACCCAUUACGGAUACAUACCGCUAGGGGUAACCACAUAUACACUGAGGUGCUAGAAAUAAUAUCAACAGCUUCCUGGAAUGUAUUGAAGAAGGUGAUGUCAUCAUGACUCCAACAACUCCACUUACGCAUCCAUCAAUCUUGCAGGGAAUAGUUCUAAACUAUCGGGCUUCAGUUGGCAUGUUACCUGAGGCCGACAAGACGGCAAAUUCGGUUAGUGAGAAGAUCGUCCAAAAGAACAUCGUCGAGAAAGAUGAGCUGAUGCAAAGAGGUUUGAACCAUUUGUUUAUGUUAUUGCCCCAGUGAGUGCGGGCAAGAAAGGCAGGAAGAAGUAAUCCCUUAUGUUAGCUUCUCGUGGCCAGGGGCGCAAUGUACGUGGAGGUGUUCAAUAGAGGGGAAAUUCUGCCGCCCUACAGCAUCAGGAAGAGGAACAGCAGGACCAGGCUGCGCUUCACCUAUAACGAUGACAUCUGCUUGAACUCAGUUAACCUGAACUCCAUAAUUGAGGCUAUGUUUAUUCUGUGCCUUUGAAGAUGUAUAGCGGUGGUGCAGACGAACUGACCUUCCUGUUCGUACUCCUACAUUGCAUAUCUGAACUUGGCCAAGAAUGGACCCCAAUGCUUCUCUUGCCUCAGAGGCAUGGUGACCUACUCUGCCUCCCCUUCAUAUGAAGCAAAUAAAAGGCAUGCAGUUCUUUACGAUUUGAGCCGCCACCCCUCCGGCCUGCCCGCCGGCGGCACACUGCUCUUCCAGCCGCCCCUGAGCCCACGCGGCUUGCCGGAUCAUGCGCCACCCCAGAGUGCCACCCACGCCAACCUGAGAUCCGCCUCUGCAGGACAUGAUGGCCAGAUCGCCGGGAGCCCCUACCCCGACCCCAAGGUUGCUGGCAGCGUCAACCCCGACGAUGAGGUCACCGUCACCCCCAACCUUGACGCCCAGGUGUGGAUGGAAGAGUGACAAUAACUACAGGUUGGUCAAAGGUUGAAAGAAAUUCUCCUUUAAAUUAGGCCAAUGCUACUCAACUUUUCUUUGAGUGACGAGGAAUUUCAACCGUCCUUGGCGAAGGACUGCUAUCUGAUUGUCACUAGCCUCGUGUGUAAAUGCUUCGCUUUCAAUAUUUUGUACUAUCUUGCUGCCCUAUGUGCUACUUAAGCCUGAUCUAUUAAACAUUACUUGGCCUAUUCCUUUGUGCCGAGCUUGAUGUGCCUCAAUUGUACUCUAUGAUAUGUACUUUGAUUGGAAAAUUCACAAGGUUAAAGAUUUGCAUUGCUUUUGGUGUUGAACCAUGCAUUGAUUACAUACUUCAGGGCGUGCUUCUUACUGAUUUAGCAUUACCUGCUUGACAAAAGGUUAGGACCAGAACCCUCGCGCCAAGGCGCGUUGCCGAUCU